This 960-nucleotide unclassified non-coding RNA is filed under the name Hevea brasiliensis (rubber tree). Lineage: Eukaryota; Viridiplantae; Streptophyta; Magnoliopsida; Malpighiales; Euphorbiaceae. The record is from RNAcentral.
AAAACCUCAUGCAAUUCAAAGCCCAACUACCUAAUACACUUAGGCAUAUCUAGAUUCUUCUAAAAGGUCAAAAGAAAGAAGAAAUUACCUCUUUCUCUUGAAAUGAAGAAGGAAGUGAAUUGACACUUCUAGCUUAAAUCCACGUUCACUAAGCUUUCCCUUAAAAGAAUCAAGUUUCAAACCAUUUAAUUGCCAAGAAAAUGUUCAAAAAGUUGAAAGAAAAAGAGGAAUGAGAGUUCAAGUUACUUUUUUAACAGAAAAUAAGUUGCUGGCUUUUUAUACCCUCACUUGUCGAGGGACUUUCAGCUGCUGGAUUCCAUUUCUACCCAAAAUGAAUUUGAACAGUAAAAAAGAUUUUGACUGUUGAAAGUCCAUCCUUCAGCUGCCGAAGUUCCUUCUGCCCAAAAAGUCAUUUGAACUUUUCUUUGGUCAAAACCCUUAAAACGUUUUCAUUUUCAAAUGCAUUUUCAAAACAUCAUACAUACAAACACAUGCACUUCUUACCACCACUCCUUUAUCUAUGGCAUCUUCAAAUUCGUCAGAAUAUUCCAUCAACGACAGAAAUUUUGACGUCGGAAAAUGGUGGAUGUUACAAUUCAAUUGUUGGUAACAGUCAAAUUACAUAUGCUUGAAUUUAUUAUAAAUGGAAAUGUUGGGAAGGAAUACAAUCUACAUGUGUCUACAUUUUUCAAUUUCCUGUUGUCUAUGGUAAUAUGAGUCUGGAAUUAUCUUAGACCACCAUUACUAUUAUUAAUACUAGUAUUUGAUGUUAUCCGCCCUCUGAAAUUUUUGUUCCUAGCAAUUUUGUGAUAAAUUUUUGAAGAGUUCAUUAGGGUGAACUGUAGAAAACUGAUGGGGCAUGAUAAAUGCAAUGUAGAUGCUAGCUAGCCUUUUCCAACCAUUAAAUUGUUUUUCACUCCCACGAAAUGCUGUAGUGGAAUUGAUGUGGCUGUCUUUGAU